AACACGUUUUAAUAAAGUCCCGUGAGGCUUUAAAGGGUGUUAGGUCGAUCGACUUAGCGUGGUGUAGUUUGGCUACGUGUACCGAUUAACCAGCAUUCCUUUAAGGGAUGCUGGUUUUUUUAU
Molecule: regulatory RNA element, 123 nt
Organism: Pontibacillus yanchengensis Y32
Lineage: Bacteria; Bacillati; Bacillota; Bacilli; Caryophanales; Bacillaceae
Rfam family: PyrR binding site
About the family: This family represents the PyrR binding site and terminator structure. This RNA structure is found upstream of a variety of genes involved in pyrimidine biosynthesis and transport.
Source: Rfam